This 460-nucleotide ribosomal RNA is filed under the name uncultured bacterium. RNAcentral's name for it is "partial 16S ribosomal RNA". It matches the Rfam family "Bacterial small subunit ribosomal RNA", at positions 338 to 795 of the family's 1533-position model. The record is from RNAcentral.
CCUACGGGUGGCAGCAGUGAGGAAUAUUGGUCAAUGGGCGCGAGCCUGAACCAGCCAAGCCGCGUGAGGGAGGACGGCCCUACGGGUUGUAAACCUCUUUUGCCGGGGAGCAACGGGAGUCUCGCGUGCCGCCACUGAGAGUAUCCGGAGAAAAAGCACCGGCUAACUCCGGGCCAGCAGCCGCGGUAAUACGGAGGAUGCGAGCGUUACCCGGAUUUAUUGGGUUAAAGGGGUGCGUGGGCGGAUCGUUAAGUCAGUGGUCAAAUCGAGGGGCUCAACCCCUUCCCGCCAUUGAAACUGGCGCUCUUGAGUGGAAGAGAGGUAUGCGGAAUGCGUGGUGUAGCGGUGAAAUGCAUAGAUAUCACGCAGAACCCCGAUUGCGAAGGCAGCAUGCCGGCUUCCGACUGACGCUGAAGCACGAAAGCGUGGGGAUCGAACAGGAUUAGAUACCCCUGUAGUC